GAAGGGGGCUAGCGUUGCUCGGAAUCACUGGGCGUAAAGGGUGCGUAGGCGGGUCUNUAAGUCAGGGGUGAAAUCCUGGAGCUCAACNCCAGAACUGCCUUUGAUACUGAAGAUCUUGAGUUCGGGAGAGGUGAGUGGAACUGCGAGUGUAGAGGUGAAAUUCGUAGAUAUUCGCAAGAACACCAGUGGCGAAGGCGGCUCACUGGCCCGAUACUGACGCUGAGGCACGAAAGCGUGGGGAGCAAACAGGAUUAGAUACCCUGGUAGUCCACGCCGUAAACGGUGGAUGCUGGAUGUGGGGCCCGUUCCACGGGUUCCGUGUCGGAGCUAACGCGUUAAGCAUCCCGCCUGGGGAGU
Molecule: ribosomal RNA, 357 nt
Filed under: uncultured bacterium
Lineage: Bacteria
Description: bacterial SSU rRNA
Rfam family: Bacterial small subunit ribosomal RNA
Source: RNAcentral